Molecule: long non-coding RNA, 202 nt
Organism: Microtus oregoni (creeping vole)
Lineage: Eukaryota; Metazoa; Chordata; Mammalia; Rodentia; Cricetidae
Exons: 3
Source: RefSeq, a predicted model, not a curated record
UUGGUAUCCUCGCAGCCUGGCACAAGGUGUUGCCAUUCUGCUGGAGUUAAAGAAAAGAUGGCUGUCACAGGAUUUCUCCAUCAUCUGGAUUAGAGACAACCACGUGAGAUGAGCCUGACCAGGAGACAACAGAUCUCCAAGGAAACAUCAUGCUGACUGGACUUGGUAAUACAGUCACACAGACACACACACCCCAGAUGGC